Molecule: transfer RNA, 73 nt
Filed under: Paramuricea clavata
Lineage: Eukaryota; Metazoa; Cnidaria; Anthozoa; Malacalcyonacea; Plexauridae
Rfam family: tRNA
About the family: Transfer RNA (tRNA) molecules are approximately 80 nucleotides in length.
Source: Rfam by way of RNAcentral
GCCGAAAUAGCUCAGGUGGGCGAGCGUCAGACUGAAGAUCUGAAGGUCCCUGGUUGAAUGCAGGGUUUCGGCA